CAGCCGCCGCGGGAAUACGGAGGGUGCAAGCGUUAAUCGGAAUUACUGGGCGUAAAGCGCACGCAGGCGGUCUGACAAGUCAGAUGUGAAAUCCCCGGGCUUAACCUGGGAACUGCAUUUGAAACUGUCAGGCUGGAGUCUUGUAGAGGGUGGUAGAAUUCCAGGUGUAGCGGUGAAAUGCGUAGAGAUCUGGAGGAAUACCGGUGGCGAAGGCUGCCCCCUGGACAAAGACUGACGCUCAGGUGCGAAAGCGUGGGGAGCAAACAGGAUUAGAUACCCCUGUAGUCCCUGUCUCUUAUAC
RNAcentral lists this ribosomal RNA (301 nucleotides) under uncultured bacterium. RNAcentral describes it as "partial 16S ribosomal RNA". It matches the Rfam family "Bacterial small subunit ribosomal RNA", at positions 509 to 807 of the family's 1533-position model. The record is from RNAcentral.